CGAUAGCUCAGUUGGUAGAGCAGAGGACUGAAAAUCCUCGUGUCGCUGGUUCGAUUCCGGCUCUGGG
This 67-nucleotide transfer RNA is filed under the name bovine gut metagenome. It matches the Rfam family "tRNA", at positions 6 to 65 of the family's 71-position model. Rfam says of the family: Transfer RNA (tRNA) molecules are approximately 80 nucleotides in length. Their secondary structure includes four short double-helical elements and three loops (D, anti-codon, and T loops). The record is from RNAcentral.